Molecule: ribosomal RNA, 254 nt
Filed under: uncultured bacterium
Lineage: Bacteria
Description: partial 16S ribosomal RNA
Rfam family: Bacterial small subunit ribosomal RNA
Source: RNAcentral
UACGUAGGUGCGAGCGUGUCCGGAAUUAUUGGGCGUAAAGAGCUGUAGGCGGUUUGUCGCGUCUGACUGUGAAAAUCCGGGGACUCAACCCCGGACUUGCAGUGGGUACGGGCAGACUAGAGUGUGGUAGGGGAGACUGGAAUUCCUGGUGUAGCGGUGAAAUGCGCAGAUAUCAGGAGGAACACCGAGUGGCGAAGGCAGCCAUCUGGACCGAACACUGACGCUGAGGCGCGAAAGCGUGGGGAGCAAACAGG